CAUACGCGUUCAGAGUUUGAUCCUGGCUCAGGAUGAACGCUGGCGGCGUGCAUAACACAUUCAAGUCGAACGGUGACGAGGACUUCGGUCCUCUGAUCAGUGGCGGACGGGUGAGUAACGCGUGAGCAACCUGCCCUUGUGUGGGGGAUAACGUCCGGAAACAGACGCUAAUACCGCAUAACGUAUUGAUACCGCAUGGUAAUGAUACCAAAGAUUUAUUGCGCAAGGAUGGGCUCGCGUUGGAUUAGAUAGUUGGUGGGGUAACGGCCUACCAAGUCAACGAUCCAUAGCCGGACUGAGAGGUUGAACGGCCACAUUGGAACUGAGAAACGGUCCAG
Molecule: ribosomal RNA, 338 nt
Filed under: uncultured bacterium
Lineage: Bacteria
Description: bacterial SSU rRNA
Rfam family: Bacterial small subunit ribosomal RNA
Source: RNAcentral